AUAAGCGGAGGAAAAGAAACUAACAAGGAUUCCCCUAGUAACUGCGAGUGAAGCGGGAAAAGCUCAAAUUUAAAAUCUGGCAGCCUUUGGUUGUCCGAGUUGUAAUCUAGAGAAGUGUUAUCCGCGCUGGACCGUGUACAAGUCUCCUGGAAUGGAGCGUCAUAGAGGGUGAGAAUCCCGUCUUUGACACGGACUGCCAGGGCUUUGUGAUGCGCUCUCAAAGAGUCGAGUUGUUUGGGAAUGCAGCUCAAAAUGGGUGGUAAAUUCCAUCUAAAGCUAAAUAUUGGCGAGAGACCGAUAGCGAACAAGUACCGUGAGGGAAAGAUGAAAAGAACUUUGGAAAGAGAGUUAAACAGUACGUGAAAUUGCUGAAAGGGAAACGCUUGAAGUCAGUCGCGUUGUCCAGGGAUCAACCUUGCUUUUGCUUGGUGCAUUUUCUGGUUGACGGGUCAGCAUCAAUUUUGACCAUUGGAAAAAGAUUAGGGGAAUGUGGCAUCUUCGGAUGUGUUAUAGCCCUUGGUUGCAUACAAUGGUUGGGAUUGAGGAACUCAGCACGCCGCAAGGCCGGGUUUUUAACCACGUACGUGCUUAGGAUGCUGGCAUAAUGGCUUUAAUCGACCCGUCUUGAAACACGGACCAAGGAGUCUAACAUGCCUGCGAGUGUUUGGGUGGAAAACCCGAGCGCGUAAUGAAAGUGAAAGUUGAGAUCCCUGUCGUGGGGAGCAUCGACGCCCGGACCAGACCUUUUGUGACGGCUCCGCGGUAGAGCAUGUAUGUUGGGACCCGAAAGAUGGUGAACUAUGCCUGAAUAGGGUGAAGCCAGAGGAAACUCUGGUGGAGGCUCGUAGCGAUUCUGACGUGCAAAUCGAUCGUCAAAUUUGGGUAUAGGGGCGAAAGACUAAUCGAACCAUCUAGUAGCUGG
Molecule: ribosomal RNA, 922 nt
Filed under: Cortinarius waiporianus
Lineage: Eukaryota; Fungi; Basidiomycota; Agaricomycetes; Agaricales; Cortinariaceae
Description: partial large subunit ribosomal RNA
Rfam family: Eukaryotic large subunit ribosomal RNA
Source: RNAcentral